UACGGGGGGGGCAAGCGUUGUUCGGAAUUACUGGGCGUAAAGGGCGCGUAGGCGGUCUUUUAAGUCCUGUGUGAAAUCCCUCGGCUCAACUGAGGAACUGCACGGGAUACUGGAAGACUUGAGUUCGGGAGAGGGAAGCGGAAUUCCGGGUGUAGCGGUGGAAUGCGUAGAGAUCCGGAAGAACACCGGAGGCGAAGGCGGCUUGCUGGGCGUAGUCUGACGCUGAGGCGCGAAAGCGUGGGGAGCGAACAGG
Molecule: ribosomal RNA, 253 nt
Filed under: uncultured bacterium
Lineage: Bacteria
Description: partial 16S ribosomal RNA
Rfam family: Bacterial small subunit ribosomal RNA
Source: RNAcentral